GAUGAACGCUGGCGGCGUGCCUAAUACAUGCAAGUCGAGCGAACAGACGAGGAGCUUGCUCCUCUGACGUUAGCGGCGGACGGGUGAGUAACACGUGGAUAACCUACCUAUAAGACUGGGAUAACUUCGGGAAACCGGAGCUAAUACCGGAUAAUAUAUUGAACCGCAUGGUUCAAUAGUGAAAGACGGUUUUGCUGUCACUUAUAGAUGGAUCCGCGCCGCAUUAGCUAGUUGGUAAGGUAACGGCUUACCAAGGCAACGAUGCGUAGCCGACCUGAGAGGGUGAUAGGCCACACUGGAACUGAGCCACGGUCCAGAGUCCUACGGGAGGCAGCAGUAGGGAAUCUGCCGCAAUGGGCGAAAGCCUGACGGAGCAACGCCGCGUGAGUGAUGAAGGUCUUCGGAUCGUAAAACUCUGUUAUUAGGGAAGAACAAAUGUGUAAGUAACUAUGCACGUCUUGACGGUACCUAAUCAGAAAGCCACGGCUAACUACGUG
This 497-nucleotide ribosomal RNA is filed under the name uncultured bacterium. Its description in RNAcentral is "partial 16S ribosomal RNA". It matches the Rfam family "Bacterial small subunit ribosomal RNA", at positions 28 to 507 of the family's 1533-position model. The record is from RNAcentral.